CUCUUCUUUGUUUGUGAACUCCAACUUGUCCCCCAAUAUUCAUUUCUAAUUUUAGUUUUUCCAGGAAGAUUUUCCUGGCCAUCACUUUCUCUUCUCCCUUUUAGCCUCUUUAUAAUUGGCGCAUCCCUCUGUCCUAAUGCCUAGUGCCUUGUAUUCUGCCACUGUACCAACUUGUUUCCUAAUUCACCAGCUCCUGCAGGAAAAACUGUGAUCCAUCUUUGGAGCCCAGGGUGAACACUUGUUGUUUGCCUUCCCACCUCCAUUCUUCUUCUCUUGUUCUUUUUUUUGGUAACAGCUUCUAAUUUUAAUCUGGGAUAUUACCUUGUGUUCCUUCAUUCUCUGUCCAGGUAGCUCAGAUAUGGUCCCAUUCACCUGUCAAAGAGAUGCUUGUGAUUGAGGGCUCAGUGUAUCAGAAGAUCCCAUCUCCUUGGUUGAGUCAAAGAGACCCUCUUUUCCCUUUCCUGAAUCCUGCUCAGGGGGAACACAGCUUGAGUGGCCUCUUCUGCCCACGUACACCCCCACACAAACAUGGAAACACACCUUUUCAGGAGAGAAUUAACAAACUGAACUCUUCCUACCCCAUGGAAUGUCCUGUUUCUAGAAUGUGACUGCUCAAGGAGAAAGAGAGUUUCAAUUGUCAUUUGUCAGAGGAACUUCAUGUUUGGGAGAAUUUUUAUAAUGGUCCUUGCAUUUGGCAGUUCCAAACUUGAGGGAGAAGGCUCAAAAUUGUGAGGGACAGGACUGGCCCUUUUGCUGUCUUUGUUGAUGGGGGCCGGAUUCAGGAUUGGGCCCGGGGUGAUGGGCAGAGGGCGGUCUUGGGUUCCUUGGGUAGGCAGAGGGAAACCUGGCAGCUUGUUGAGUCCUCCCAGGAAGCCAGUGACCCUGUUGGGGCUCUUGAGAUGGCAGGCUGAGUAGGCUCCCGGCUGGGUGGGGAGAGGCUAAAAGGGACAUUGGUGGUGGGAUAAAGCUCAGAUCCAUCUGCCUGGGGGGAGAGGAGUGAUGGGGUGAGGGAGGUUGGAAAGGGUGUUGGGCAGAUCCCAGGACCCUCUUCAAGGGCAGAGCUUCUAUGCUGUCAUACCAUUUGUGAUCCAUGUGGCUGGCACAGAGUAAACCACAGGGAGCUCUCAAAUCCAUUUUAGGUGACAGCUCUGUCUCCUUUUUCAGGUCUUUAUGCUCUUCCUAAAGCAGAGCUUGUCUUGCUCUUCCCUUCCUCGAACAAUCUUGCUGGCACCUUGGCCUAGUUUAGUAUGCAUAGCUCUUUGUGGUCAAAACCCUGCCUUCACACCUACCCCAUUUCUCUCUGCUCCUCAGUGUGCUUCCCAUGCUCGUGCAUCCUAGACAUUGACUCUUCCCCAAACAAGCCAGGCCUUGCCGUUUCCUCAUUGCUUUUUAAUAGGCCAUUCCCAGGAAAGUUCAAUUCCCUUUCCUAGCUCUGGCAAACUCCUGUUCAGCCUUGAAGACCCAUGAUUGGAAAUUCCCUCUUCUGGACAGCCAUUUCCAUUGCUUUAUAUUGCCAUUCGAGAGGUCCUUUUGUACUAAGGCAAUUAUACAUUUGUAUGACUGUUUUUGUCAUAGGCUGUAGGAUCCUCAAAGGCAAGACAUAUCUGUUUCCCACAAGAAGCAGGAUGGUUUAGUGGCUGGGUGAGCAAGGUCUGGAGUCAGAUAGCCUGGGCUCAGAUCUUGGCACCGCAGUUUAUUAGAUAUCCACUCUUGGGCAAGUUCUUUUAAGACACAAGUUCGCUGUGUCUUAGUCUACUCAACCAUAAAAUGAAUUAAUAGUAUUUUAACUACAUGAUUGUUUCAAGAAUUAAAUGAAUAUAUAUAUAUAUAUAUAUAUCACAAUGAGAGUGGUAUUUGAUAUAGUACUAAAUAAAUCUGAUAUAAUAUUUGAAAUAGGCUGAGCAUAGAGGCUCACACCUGUAAUCCCAGCAUUUUGGGAGACUGAGGCAGGAAGAUUUCUUGAGCCCAGGAGGUUGAGACUGUAGUGAGCUAUGAUUGAACCACUCUCCUUCAGCCUGGGUGACAGAGCAAGACCCUGUCUCAAAUGACAACAAAAAACAAAGCCAUCAUAAGGCACAGUACCUGGAACAUAAUGGAGAUUUACAUACAUAUUUUUAGAUAAAUUCUACUACUAUCUCCCUCUCUCCCUUCUCUUUAGCCCCCCUCCCCCUCUUCCCACCCUCCCUAACUUGCUUGCUUCCUUCCUUCCUUACACCUAUCUUCCUUUCUUUUCUUUCUCCCUUCUUUACUCCCUGAGUCUCUGGCCCACCAUUGGUCCUCACAGAGCCACUAGGCUCCUCUAGGGACCCUGAGAGCUGAAAGGUCCAAUGACUUCCAAACUCUUCUCCAUGAAACUUCUAUAGUAGAGGCUCCUGGGGAAAGGAGGGAUGGAUGAUGAGAGCCAGGGAGUUGGUGUGAACAGCUGAGCCCUGGAAGAUAGGUGGCUAACCUGAUGGGAUAGAAGGGGGCAAAUGGGAAGUGAGGGAGGGACAGACAUGGAAAGAAACGGGCAGGGAAGUCCCCUUCAGUAAUGGAGGCAGAGGCUAGAGGGGCUGCCCUUGCAGCCCAUAGAUACAUAAUCCCUGCCCUCCAGAAUCUUUCCAGAUACUGAGGAGGGAGGAAGAGGAAUGAGAAUGAGCAAGGCAGAACAAGAACAGGAAAAACAUCUUUCCUUUUCUGGCAGGGCUGCUCUGAUGAAUUUGAGCCACCUGAAUCACCUGUGCUCACCCACUCUGGAGAAAGAAUCUCAAGCUUUGGGUCUGGACUUCCGAUCCAGCUCCUCCACUUAUCUGGUGUGUGGCUUCAGGCAAGUUCCAGAGCCUGUGAGGGCCUAAACUUCCUUCUUAGUGAACGGGGCUCUACUCCCUUAUCCUUCCCAGGGAGUCAGGGGUUGCACAGAUAAAUUAAGGUACAGUUUGGAUAUGCAUUGGAAAGUGUUGCAGAUGGGCAAGGUCUCUGUCAUCAUGAUGGUGACCUGGAGGAUCAGGUGGCAGAGGCGUCUUACAGCAAGAGCCUCCAAGAACCUUCCAGAAUUGGACAUCUACUAGUGCUGUGGGCAGGCUUGGCUCCCAGCCUUCUGCAUCCCAGAAGGGCUGACUACCUUCUCUCCUGGGAUACAUUCCAAUUAAAAAUUACCUGGAAGGAGGAGGGGGCCAGUAUGUGGGGCCUGAGGACACGGCAUGAUACUCUCUUCCCUCGCCUCCUCUAGGAAGACCCCUCUCCUGGGGAGGAGCAGGAAAAAUAGCAGCUGUUUAAAAAUUUGGUAACAGUCCCAAAUAAAAGCUGCAGUGGAGUUCAAUAGUCAGUCCUUGAUUGGAAGCCAAGGUAAGCCAGGAAGGAGAAGCGGGGUCCCCCAGUGGGUUCAGAUCCUGCAGGGGAGUCUGGGACAGACAGGGACAGCAAAUUUGCAGUGAGACUGAGAAGGCCAGGGCUUAGCAGCUUUUCCUGGAAGAACUGGGUAUCUUGGGCACUGACAUCCAGGACUCUGAAAAGCUGGGUACUUUUAGGGGAGGGGGAGAAAAGGGAGUUAAAAAACAAAGAUCCUUUCCUUCUCUCUCUUCCUCGUAUUCCUUUUUCUGAUCUCAGUGAGCAGGUCUUGGUUUACUGCCGACACGUUUCAUAAACAUGAAACAUCUUCCUCCUUCCUCAGACAGGCUAUCUUUCUUUAUUCUUAUCCUUUUGUUUUAAAGCAUUUUUAUUAGUCUUUUUUUUUCUUAAACUUUUAAACAGCUGUUUAUAAAAACACAACAAAUACACAACACAAAACUUGGCAAAAAUAACUCACUAUAUGGUACAUAUACUCAGAUGACGUGAUAUAUUUAUAUAAUAAAAGAUGAAAAUAGUCACUUUCCAUAAUAAAAAUAAGUUCUAUUUUUUGUUUAUUUUACAAUAUACUUAAUAUUCUCUUCUUCUUUAGCUUCCUCUCCAGCUUUGUCUCCUUCACGCUGAAUCUCCAGGGGUCCCACAUGGCUGUUCCAGCCUCACCAAGCUGG
Molecule: long non-coding RNA, 3992 nt
Filed under: Callithrix jacchus (white-tufted-ear marmoset)
Lineage: Eukaryota; Metazoa; Chordata; Mammalia; Primates; Cebidae
Description: lncRNA (ENSCJAG00000082281.1)
Source: RNAcentral